CUGACCUCGAAUCAGGUGGGACUACCCGCUGAACUUAAGCAUAUCAAUAAGCGGAGGAAAAGAAACUAACAAGGAUUCCCUUAGUAACUGCGAGUGAAGUGGGAUGAGCUCAAAUUUAAAAUCUGGUGGUCUCUGGCUGCCCGAGUUGUAAUCUAGAGAAGUGUUUUCUGUGCUGGACUGUGUUUAAGUUUCCUGGAUAUGGAACAUCAUAGAGGGUGAGAAUCCCGUCUUUAAUACAGA
Molecule: ribosomal RNA, 240 nt
Filed under: Hydnum melleopallidum
Lineage: Eukaryota; Fungi; Basidiomycota; Agaricomycetes; Cantharellales; Hydnaceae
Description: partial 28S ribosomal RNA
Rfam family: Eukaryotic large subunit ribosomal RNA
Source: RNAcentral